This 1158-nucleotide ribosomal RNA is filed under the name Triticum aestivum (bread wheat). RNAcentral describes it as "partial small subunit ribosomal RNA". Lineage: Eukaryota; Viridiplantae; Streptophyta; Magnoliopsida; Poales; Poaceae. The record is from RNAcentral.
AUGGAGACGAAGCGCGUCGGAUUCGCGGAGCCGAGGAUCGAAGGCGACGGCGAGGCAGGGCUAGGAAGCCCAGUUCGCGGGGCCACGACCGGGGAAGAGGAGGCCGUCGUCGUCGGCGGCGGCAAGGCAAACCCACGGCCGCUCCGCCGCAGAGGGGUCAACGUGAAGCGGAAGGCGGCCCUGAGGAGGAAGCACCUGCCUCCCCGCGACGGGGAAAAGCGGCCGCCUCCGGCCCGGAGCUCGGCGCCGGUGGCGGGGGAUUACAGGGAGGAGGACGCGAUCGCCGUGCACCGUCGGGUCUGGGAGAGGAGAUGGGCCGGCAAUUUCGGCUCCUUCGACGACGAAACGGGUAUCGGUCCCAUGUGCUACACAUCCGCACCGCCCACCCCGGAAUACCUUUUCAGAGAACAGGCCGUGCAGAUCUUCUCCAUCAGGGUCAGGGCCCCAACAGAUGGUCUCAAGUGGCCACUGCAUGUCCAUGGCUAUGUCGCCACCAGAGACUCGAUGGAUCGCAAUCGCAACUAUCUCUUUAGGCGCGCAAGGGAUAACUGCCAAACCCUCACGCAAAACGAUCCAUUCUUGCUGUUAACAGGCCCAUCCCGCGCGGUAGUGUUCCUCGAUCCGAUCACGUUCGAAGUCCAGCUAAAAGUGAAGGGAAAAGGGGAGUCCGAAGACGAAAUGCUGGCUUUUGCUGUCUUCUACUACGGCGACGGGAAUGCUUGUGCACGCAAGCUCUCCAUGUCCAUCCCCCACAACCGCUGCACGCUCGAGUACGAAGUGGCGCUGCGGCCGCGCUCGGUCGAGGCCACCAUCAGCGUCAAGAUCGUCGAAGGGUCAUGGCCGGAGAACCACCGAGGACAGGUUGUCGCCCUCACCUCCGGCGUAGACGGGGAGGUCGUCUUGCUUCGUUCUGGAGACAGAGAACUGCCCGUCGGUUCGGACGGCGCGAUCGAGCUCUCGAGGCGGGUUGUUUCUGUAGAUCUAAGAGAGAAACUGGUGGUUGCUGUGGACGCCUCUCUGUCCGGUUUCCUUGCGCGGGGUACAGCUGAGUUCAAGCCGGAGAACUAUGGCACGAGCCACGGCGUGUGCGACCUCGGUUCCUGCAAGAUUCAAGUCGCCGUUGCUUGGUCCCUUUUCGUUAUUGUUUUGGGAAGAUAG